GACAGAGGAUGCAAGCGUUAUCCGGAAUGAUUGGGCGUAAAGCGUCUGUAGGUGGCUUUUAAGUCUGCCGUCAAAUCCCAGGGCUUAACCCUGGACAGGCGGUGGAAACUACCAAGCUGGAGUACGGUAGGGGCAGAGGGAAUUUCCGGUGGAGCGGUGAAAUGCGUAGAGAUCGGAAAGAACACCAACGGCGAAGGCACUCUGCUGGGCCGACACUGACACUGAGAGACGAAAGCUAGGGGGAGCAAAAUGGG
This 254-nucleotide ribosomal RNA is filed under the name uncultured bacterium. Its description in RNAcentral is "partial 16S ribosomal RNA". It matches the Rfam family "Bacterial small subunit ribosomal RNA", at positions 524 to 777 of the family's 1533-position model. The record is from RNAcentral.